Molecule: ribosomal RNA, 253 nt
Filed under: uncultured bacterium
Lineage: Bacteria
Description: partial 16S ribosomal RNA
Rfam family: Bacterial small subunit ribosomal RNA
Source: RNAcentral
CCUACGGGAGGCAGCAGUGAGGAAUAUUGGUCAAUGGGCGGGAGCCUGAACCAGCCAAGCCGCGUGAGGGAAGAAGGUACAGCGUAUCGUAAACCUCUUUUGUCAGGGAACAAAGGCGGGGACUAGUCCCCGGAUGAGGGUACCUGAAGAAAAAGCAUCGGCUAACUCCGUGCCAGCAGCCGCGGUAAUACGUAGGUGGCAAGCGUUAUCCGGAAUUACUGGGUGUAAAGGGUGUGUAGGCGGGUUUGUAAUU